GGGCCCGUAGUUAAGUGGCAUAACGCCACAUUCGCAUUGUGGAGGCAGGAGUUCGAUUCUCCUCGGGUCCACGA
Molecule: transfer RNA, 74 nt
Filed under: Candidatus Sungbacteria bacterium RIFCSPHIGHO2_02_FULL_49_20
Lineage: Bacteria; Candidatus Sungiibacteriota
Also listed under: 1 other name
Description: tRNA-Ala
Rfam family: tRNA
About the family: Transfer RNA (tRNA) molecules are approximately 80 nucleotides in length.
Source: RNAcentral